Long non-coding RNA from Solanum pennellii, 1026 nucleotides. RefSeq lists it as uncharacterized. NCBI's taxonomy places the organism in Eukaryota, Viridiplantae, Streptophyta, Magnoliopsida, Solanales, Solanaceae. The transcript has 2 exons. The record is from RefSeq and is a predicted model, not a curated record.
UUCACAAUAGCAGUAAUAGGCGCGUGCCACUCGACCUCGAUCCGUUUUCUUCUACUUCCUCGAUGCGAACGGAGCCCAGCAGUGCUAGCGAUUGCGCUCCACUCGCGUCGAAAUACGCACCUCAAUGUCUCGUCUGCUCGAAUGACUUUUCAUUUGCCAGCAUCCUGCGAUUUUCUGUCCAAGCAAAUAGUAAUUUCAGACGUGUCUCAUCCUUGGUGGCGUGAGAUUUAGCCACGUCGCGGCAAGGACGUUUGGAUCGAUCCUGGGCGUCGUUUUCUCCUUCCCUUUUCGGAAUGGGUUAAGAGCUUCAGAAAAAGCUUUCCAUCCCAAAAAGGUGAAACCUUUGGGGAAUUCAAAUUCAAAAGUCGUCGUCUUGUCAUCCGGUUUCCCCCCUUUUUUUAUCCCAACCCUAAUUUCCCACUAUAAAACUCCUCUUUUCAGUUCACUGCCAGGGGGAGAUUAUUUUUCUUAGGGAGAUUUUUUUUAAAGAGUCGGAUAUUUUAGCUGAAUACUUUAGUUGGAAAUUUGUUUUAGGCAAAAAAGCCUCAGAAAGUAUUGAAGAACAGAGAGAAAGAAAAGAAAUCUAAGGUUUAUGUUUAAGAAAGAUCGAACACUCGUCUAGUUCAAAAUUUUUGAAAAGUUCUUUUUUUAUAUUCAAGGUCGAUUCGAACCUUUUUCCUGAAGUUCCCUAAACUCACUUUUGGUGGUAGAAGCUGUAGCCAAGCUCGCUCUUUUACUCAAUCUAGCAGCCCCAAAGAAGGUGUAGGUGGAAAGAGAGGAGUCUAUUGGAAAUAAAGCUUGAGAAUAGCAUCCUUUUAUGAAAAAUCUUGGUAUGUCCUCACAUGAUUCCAGGACAUAGUUAUGUUUAGCUUUCCUUUUCGACAGACAUUGUAAUAGACUUGAGUAUUUCCAUUUUGUUGAUGUAUGGGCUGUGACCCAAGAUAUUCAUGUGUCUAAUAUGUCUACAACGAUACUUAGUCCUUUCUUAUGUUUUCUAUAAAAGAGAUAUGAAUAUUGUUGUGAAAA